Molecule: ribosomal RNA, 449 nt
Filed under: uncultured bacterium
Lineage: Bacteria
Description: partial 16S ribosomal RNA
Rfam family: Bacterial small subunit ribosomal RNA
Source: RNAcentral
UAGGGAAUCUUCCACAAUGGACGCAAGUCUGAUGGAGCAACGCCGCGUGAGUGAAGAAGGCUUUCGGGUCGUAAAACUCUGUUGUUGGAGAAGAAUGGUCGGCAGAGUAACUGUUGUCGGCGUGACGGUAUCCAACCAGAAAGCCACGGCUAACUACGUGCCAGCAGCCGCGGUAAUACGUAGGUGGCAAGCGUUAUCCGGAUUUAUUGGGCGUAAAGCGAGCGCAGGCGGUUUUUUAAGUCUGAUGUGAAAGCCCUCGGCUUAACCGAGGAAGCGCAUCGGAAACUGGGAAACUUGAGUGCAGAAGAGGACAGUGGAACUCCAUGUGUAGCGGUGAAAUGCGUAGAUAUAUGGAAGAACACCAGUGGCGAAGGCGGCUGUCUGGUCUGUAACUGACGCUGAGGCUCGAAAGCAUGGGUAGCGAACAGGAUUAGGAUACCCUGGUAGUC